Molecule: non-coding RNA, 815 nt
Filed under: Heterotermes crinitus
Lineage: Eukaryota; Metazoa; Arthropoda; Insecta; Blattodea; Rhinotermitidae
Source: RNAcentral
AAGGAGUUUUAUUCUUGCUUGUUUAUUCAUUAUUUUCUUGCUCUAUAUGUAAGUUUGUGCGUGAUUUUUCUUUGAUUCUAGAUGGGUUAGGGUUAAGGGUUGGGUAAUUCUCAUUAGUUGUUAUUAUUGAUCAAGGAUUCUUGUAGCUAGUAAUGUAUUUUAGUUUCGGUUAAAUUUUGUGCCAGCAGCCGCGGUUAUACCUUGGAUGCAAUUGAAUAUGUUUGGCUUGUGGUAGUUUUAUGAUGUGAGAUGUGAUUUAGGUUUAUGAUUUGGUUGGUUGGUUGGGUGAAAUUUUUAUUCUUGUUGUUUUCCUUGUUUUUAUUUGGAGGCUAUGAAAUUCUUUUUUUAAACUAGGAUUAGAUACCCUAUUAUUUAGGGAUGUUAAUUUUUGUGCUUGAGUAGUAUUAGUUAUGUUCUUGAAACUUAAAGAAUUUGGCGGUAUCUUAUUCCGUUCAGAGGAAUCUGUCUCGUUAUCGAUAGUCCGCGUUGGACCUUACUUGGUUGCUAUGGUUUGUAUACCGCCGUUUAUUGUUUAUGCUUUUAGGGGGUUGAAUUUUCUUGUUUCUUUACUUUGAUUUAUUUCAGGUCAAGGUGCAGCUUGUUUCUAAGUGUUAUUGAUGGAUUACAUUGGUCUUUGUUGUCUGGAUUGUUAGUAGGAUUACUGGUAUGAAAUUGGAUUUGAUUGUAAUGUUUUGUAGAUUGUUUUCAUGAUACUUGGUUCUAAGAUAUGUACACAUCGCCCGUCGCUCUCGUUUAGUUGUUAAUGAGAUAAGUCGUAACAAAGUGGUUGUACCGGAAGGUGCGGCUGGAGUGAU